AUUGAACGCUGGCGGCAUGCUUUACACAUGCAAGUCGAACGGCAGCACAGGGAGCUUGCUCCUGGGUGGCGAGUGGCGAACGGGUGAGUAAUGUAUCGGAACGUGCCUGGUAGUGGGGGAUAACUACUCGAAAGAGUGGCUAAUACCGCAUGGGAUCUUUGGAUGAAAGCGGGGGACCUUCGGGCCUCGUGCUACUGGAGCGGCCGAUAUCAGAUUAGGUUGUUGGUGGGGUAAAGGCCUACCAAGCCUGCGAUCUGUAGCUGGUCUGAGAGGACGACCAGCCACACUGGGACUGAGACACGGCCCAGACUCCUACGGGAGGCAGCAGUGGGGAAUUUUGGACAAUGGGCGCAAGCCUGAUCCAGCAAUGCCGCGUGCAGGACGAAGGCCUUCGGGUUGUAAACUGCUUUUGUACAGAACGAAAAGUCUCUGGCUAAUAUCUAGAGAUCAUGACGGUACUGUAAGAAUAAGCACCGGCUAACUACGUG
RNAcentral lists this ribosomal RNA (488 nucleotides) under uncultured bacterium. RNAcentral's name for it is "partial 16S ribosomal RNA". It matches the Rfam family "Bacterial small subunit ribosomal RNA", at positions 30 to 507 of the family's 1533-position model. The record is from RNAcentral.